RNAcentral lists this ribosomal RNA (490 nucleotides) under uncultured bacterium. RNAcentral describes it as "partial 16S ribosomal RNA". It matches the Rfam family "Bacterial small subunit ribosomal RNA", at positions 30 to 507 of the family's 1533-position model. The record is from RNAcentral.
AUUGAACGCUGGCGGCAGGCCUAACACAUGCAAGUCGAACGGUAACAGAAAGCAGCUUGCUGCUUUGCUGACGAGUGGCGGACGGGUGAGUAAUGUCUGGGAAACUGCCUGAUGGAGGGGGAUAACUACUGGAAACGGUAGCUAAUACCGCAUAACGUCGCAAGACCAAAGAGGGGGACCUUCGGGCCUCUUGCCAUCGGAUGUGCCCAGAUGGGAUUAGCUUGUUGGUGGGGUAACGGCUCACCAAGGCGACGAUCCCUAGCUGGUCUGAGAGGAUGACCAGCCACACUGGAACUGAGACACGGUCCAGACUCCUACGGGAGGCAGCAGUGGGGAAUAUUGCACAAUGGGCGCAAGCCUGAUGCAGCCAUACCGCGUGUAUGAAGAAGGCCUUCGGGUUGUAAAGUACUUUCAGCGGGGAGGAAGGGAGUAAAGUUAAUACCUUUGCUCAUUGACGUUACCCGCAGAAGAAGCACCGGCUAACUCCGUG